AGCAUUGGCCGCGGAAAGAUCAAAAGACCCCUAUUUCUGUUCCGUCUAUUUGAAAAUCAAAUUUAUGUGAAUUCAUUCAUUCAUUCAUUCCUGCAAAUCUCCCUCACAUCUUGCCUCCAUCUCUCACACGUUUGAGUGCGUGUAUUUUCGGAAAAUGGGGAUCCCGACGAAGUCUGAACAAGAACACAAGGUAUCUUCUUCAUCUUCUUUUCCCCCUUGUGGUUUCCUGUUAUGACGAUCUUGGAAAUGCAGGCUCCGUUUAUUGGAGAAGAAUUGGGAUGAUAGAGUGCUUUUCAGUUAUUUGAUUAGUUAUUCGUUGCAUUUGAUUUGAAGAGACUUUUGGAUUGUAGUUCCAAUAAUUGGCCUGUAAUUCGGAAAUUGGAUUUUAGUUUGAGGGAUUUGGGUUGAUAAUGUAAUGAUUGGUUUAGGGUUUAGCGUCUCGUCGAUUUUACAGAAUGUACUUGUGAAAAUUGCAAUUGUUUGUAAUAACAAGACUAAGUUAAAUUGUUUGUA
Sesamum indicum (sesame) is the source of this 513-nucleotide long non-coding RNA. RefSeq lists it as uncharacterized. Lineage: Eukaryota; Viridiplantae; Streptophyta; Magnoliopsida; Lamiales; Pedaliaceae. The record is from RefSeq and is a predicted model, not a curated record.